AGAGUGAACGCUGGCGGUAGGCCUAACACAUGCAAGUCGAACGGCAGCACGGGAGCAAUCCUGGUGGCGAGUGGCGAACGGGUGAGUAAUAUAUCGGAACGUGCCCAGUCGUGGGGGAUAACGCAGCGAAAGCUGUGCUAAUACCGCAUACGAUCUAUGGAUGAAAGCGGGGGAUCGCAAGACCUCGCGCGAUUGGAGCGGCCGAUAUCAGAUUAGCUAGUUGGUGGGGUAAAAGCCUACCAAGGCGACGAUCUGUAGCUGGUCUGAGAGGACGACCAGCCACACUGGAACUGAGACACGGUCCAGACUCCUACGGGAGGCAGCAGUGGGGAAUUUUGGACAAUGGGCGCAAGCCUGAUCCAGCAAUGCCGCGUGCAGGAUGAAGGCCUUGGUUGUAACUGCUUUGUACGUAACGAAACGGUUCUCUCUAAUACAGGGCUAAUGACGGUACCGUAAGAAUAAGACAACCGGCUAACUACGU
RNAcentral lists this ribosomal RNA (481 nucleotides) under uncultured soil bacterium. RNAcentral describes it as "bacterial SSU rRNA". It matches the Rfam family "Bacterial small subunit ribosomal RNA", at positions 26 to 506 of the family's 1533-position model. The record is from RNAcentral.